RNAcentral lists this ribosomal RNA (253 nucleotides) under uncultured bacterium. RNAcentral describes it as "partial 16S ribosomal RNA". It matches the Rfam family "Bacterial small subunit ribosomal RNA", at positions 524 to 776 of the family's 1533-position model. The record is from RNAcentral.
UACAGAGGGGGCAAGCGUUGUUCGGAAUUACUGGGCGUAAAGGGCGCGUAGGCGGCCUUCUAAGUCGAACGUGAAAUCCCCGGGCUCAACCCGGGAACUGCGUCCGAUACUGGAUGGCUAGAGUCUGGUAGGGGGAUCUGGAAUUCCUGGUGUAGCGGUGGAAUGCGCAGAUAUCAGGAGGAACACCGGUGGCGAAGGCGGGAUCCUGGGCCAGUACUGACGCUGAGGAGCGAAAGCGUGGGGAGCAAACAGG